This 493-nucleotide long non-coding RNA is filed under the name Homo sapiens (human). RNAcentral's name for it is "long independently transcribed non-coding RNA 2252 (LINC02252)". Lineage: Eukaryota; Metazoa; Chordata; Mammalia; Primates; Hominidae. The record is from RNAcentral.
GUGAUUUUUAUCUGCAUUGGAUCUACUUUAAUAAACCCCACAGCCUGAAUAGCAGCUACUAGGGUAGUGCCAGUGGAUGUAUAUGGAGACUGGGCUGGAAUGGCUGAGUGUGUGGGUGCGCAGCUGGGAGCAGCCAUGGCAGUAAGUAGACAGCCAGUAACUUCUGAUAAAAGGGAGUAUCUGAAAACUGAAAGGCCCCAUAGGAAUGCCAACAACAUUUCAGAAGUUUUCAACCCAAAUUAAAGACGAAAAAAGUGAAGUAGAUGAUGCAAUAAAGAGUUGGCAAAUUCCCAGCUGGGCGCGGUGGCUCACGCCUGUAAUCCCAGCACUUUGGAAGGCCAAGGCGGGCGGAUCACGAGCAUGGUCUAUAGAAGAAGAAAGAAUUCAUCAUCAUUUCUAGGAAUAUCCCCAAUCAUAAUCCUAAGACUCCAGCUCAAAACAAUAACUGGCAACUCUUCAAUAAUUAAUUAAAGGAAGGCACACCCUCAAAAAA